CCAUUUGCAGUUGCAAUCCGUCUGAAAAAACAUAAUAGUUACAACUUUCAACAACGGAUCUCUUGGUUCUGGCAUCGAUGAAGAACGCAGCGAAAUGCGAUAAGUAGUGUGAAUUGCAGAAUUCAGUGAAUCAUCGAAUCUUUGAACGCACAUUGCGCCCCUUGGUAUUCCAUGGGGCAUGCCUGUUCGAGCGUCAUUUGUACCUUCAAGCUCUGCUUGGUGUUGGGUGUUUGUCUCGCCUCUGCGUGUAGACUCGCCUCAAAACAAUUGGCAGCCGGCGUAUUGAUUUCGGAGCGCAGUACAUCUCGCGCUUUGCACUCAGAACGACGACGUCCAAAAGUACAUUUUUACACUCUUGACCUCGGAUCAGGUAGGGAUACCCGCUGAACUUA
Molecule: ribosomal RNA, 392 nt
Filed under: Phoma sp. FL-2010c
Lineage: Eukaryota; Fungi; Ascomycota; Dothideomycetes; Pleosporales; Didymellaceae
Description: eukaryotic LSU rRNA
Rfam family: 5.8S ribosomal RNA (bases 43-196)
Source: RNAcentral